This is a long non-coding RNA of Eucalyptus grandis, 1249 nucleotides long. RefSeq lists it as uncharacterized. The record is from RefSeq and is a predicted model, not a curated record. The transcript has 3 exons. Lineage: Eukaryota; Viridiplantae; Streptophyta; Magnoliopsida; Myrtales; Myrtaceae.
CUCUCUCUCUCUCUCUCUCUCAUAUUAAUGUGGAGUGUGUGCUUGUAUAUUGCAACAGCAGAAAACGAUAGAUAGGAAGCUUAAGAAAAGCAAAUAAAUCUAAAGUGGUUCUACAUGUACAUGCAUAUGAUGGAGGUGGCUUCCGUUCUUUUAUAAGAAUCAUUUCUAUCACAUGAGACUUGUAUAUUAUUAUAAGCAAGGAUCAAUGUAUCUCCACUCAUUUAUAGAGCUCUAGUUAGAAGUGGAAUUCGCUAGGAUUACUUACUAAACUCAAAAUUGAAUUCUUCUAUUCGGGUACUUUCUAACAGUUUAUCUUAUAACAGGAUCUCGUUGUUACUUUUUUUGGAGCAGAGUUACCAAAGUGGGUCCUCCCUUUUGAAAAAGGUUUUAUAUCUUUUAGGGCUUCUAAGGACUUGUGUCGCCGGUUUCUUGGAUUCAUUCUCUGUGUUGUUCAUAGUACUGAUGAACAGGAUCAUGGGUCACGAUCAUACUACAUGGAAUUUGAAGUUAAUGGCCAAAUGAAGCUGUUAAAGUAUCAGGUGGAGUUGCGAAAAAGUGUGGAUUCCGAAUAAUUUGCAAGCCACUAGAGGAAGAUUUAAAAGUUAAGCUUCAAGAUCUAAUGGAUCCAGCUUUACUCUGUGAGUUUGGUCAUGAAUCAACAAAUUUGGAAGCCAUGGUUCCACUUAUGCAUGGAACGAUCAAAACAGAUAUACAGAACGACUUGCAAGAUUGUCCAGCGAUGCCACUUUCAGCGUCGUGACAACUUGUCUCCCAUCUGACAACACCGAGCUCUGAUGGAUGUAAGAUCGCCACCUACCAACGAUGGAGGCGACGAAGAGAAGAAGUUUGUGUCCCUGAAACAGAGUCCCUAGUGAACCGACGGCGAUGGAGACUGGAGAGCAGAGGCGAUGGACUACCACCGCCGACCGAGGCCAUGGAAACUGAUGACUUGAAGGAUGUGUAGCUGAGGUUCUGGGCUUCAUGCAGCUUGCUGAAGAUCAGAGCUUUCGUUGGACAGCCUUGAAGUUUCGGGUGGGUAAGAUGCUGGUUUUCAGUAACCGGGUGCAUUUCAGAUAUGUUACUUCAUUUUCUAAUUAAGAUGAUUAGUGUUUCAGUCUUAAGUAGUGAACGAUUUCAGAUUGUACUUUUUGAUUGAAGAGCUGUGUAAUUGUUGAGGAUGGUAGCGUUGUUGUGGCAGCAAGAAACUUGACUAAUGAGAUACAUGAUGUAUAUUUAUCAUUGCUUCUCC